RNAcentral lists this long non-coding RNA (829 nucleotides) under Gallus gallus (chicken). RNAcentral describes it as "lncRNA (ENSGALG00010030074.1)". The record is from RNAcentral. Lineage: Eukaryota; Metazoa; Chordata; Aves; Galliformes; Phasianidae.
CACACAUGGUGGAAGUGGGAGCCAGGGAUUAAAGCGGACAGGAUGCUAUUUUCAUGCUGCUUCUGAAAGGAAUGGCUUCUCUUCCAGCAGAGGAAGGAGCUGCGGCUGCACGGUGCCAUGCAACAGUAGUGUCAGAAAUAUCACAGCUGGAACCAAUGCUGUCUAGAAGCUCUGAUACAGGCCCAGCUGCUUGUGAUUCUACAGCACGCCCACAGGAAUUCAAACAACAGCAAACUUUCAUCCACAAAGAAAGGAAACACACUUACCCGAUCAGCACUGUUUGCAAAGGAAAUGACAAAUGCAUCAUGCCUAACAUUGUCACAAUUGGAUGCCAGAGUCCCUGCUUUGGAGCACCGCCUGUCAGAACUGAGAUGGCCAUGGAGGGAGCUCUGAGCCACUCUGCCAUUCGAAACAAUGGGAUCUAUUAAAAAGGAAAAACAAAAAUCAAGCCAGAAAUGGCUGACACGUGCUGAAGGGAGAGGGCAAAGCUGCAUGGACACUCAGUAAGAGUUGAAAUUGAGGCAGAAGAACAGAACCAAAAAUAGUUUGUUAGUGAAUCAGAAGCAUGGAAGGAGACAGUGAGCAAUGGAACAGCACAUGGAGAGGAUCUGUUGGAAAGUGAAUGCACACAUUAUCAUGUACAGAGAUCAGAAGUGAGACUGAAACAGAGCUAUUCCAGAACAAAUACUACUUUGAAAAUCAAACAUUUUAAAGUUAUUUUCUUCGUACUGAAUCUACAUAACUGUUUUGUUGUUGCUGUUUUGUUUGCAUUUGUUCGAUGCGACUCUUACAUCAAAUAGGUUGUGAAUAGGAAUGUUGCAAACAAGAA